This 282-nucleotide ribosomal RNA is filed under the name uncultured bacterium. Its description in RNAcentral is "partial 16S ribosomal RNA". It matches the Rfam family "Bacterial small subunit ribosomal RNA", at positions 524 to 794 of the family's 1533-position model. The record is from RNAcentral.
UACGUAGGGUGCGAGCGUUGUCCGGAAUUAUUGGGCGUAAAGAGCUUGUAGGCGGUUUGUCGCGUCUGCUGUGAAAAAUCCCGGGGGCUCAAACCCCCGGACGUUGUCAGUGGGUACGGGGCGAGACGUAGAGUGUGGUAGGGGAGACUGGAAUUCCUGGUGUAGCGGUGAAAUGCGCAGAUAUCAGGAGGAACACCGAUGGCGAAGGCAGGUCUCUGGGCCGACUACUGACGCUGAGAAGCGAAAGCAUGGGGAGCGAACAGGAUUAGAUACCCCUGUAGU